AUACGGAGGGUGCAAGCGUUGUUCGGAUUUACUGGGCGUAAAGAGCGUGUAGGCGGUUUGGCAAGUCAGAUGUGAAAGCCCUGGGCUCAACUCAGGAAGUGCAUUUGAAACUGCCAUACUAGAGUAUGGGAGAGGAGAGUGGAAUUCCCAGUGUAGAGGUGAAAUUCGUAGAUAGUGGGAGGAACACCGGUGGCGAAGGCGACUCUCUGGACCAAUACUGACGCUGAGACGCGAAAGCGUGGGGAGCAAACAGGAUUAGAAACCCGAGUAGUCC
RNAcentral lists this ribosomal RNA (274 nucleotides) under uncultured bacterium. RNAcentral's name for it is "partial 16S ribosomal RNA". It matches the Rfam family "Bacterial small subunit ribosomal RNA", at positions 523 to 796 of the family's 1533-position model. The record is from RNAcentral.